AUGGCGGAUGCACCUCUGUACAAGCAGCGCCACAAGUACACCAGGGAGCUCCACGACGUCCACCUCCACGGCAAUCACAAGCUCCACGUCCUUUGCACAAGCAAGGGCAAAGACGUGGACAAGAUGCUGCCCACGUUCAGGAGGAAGCUCGGUGGAAUGCCCGUCAAACUAGUAGGUGUUGAUGUCGAGUACACACACUACGAGAAGCCACAGCAUGCAGCGGUGCUACAGCUAUGCGUACAAAAAGAAUGCCUUGUCUACCACAUAUCUUCAGCUAAAGACAGGCCAAUGGAACUAGACAAAUUCCUGAUGAAUGAUGAGUACACCUUCGUCGGAUUCGCUAUUGAAGGAGACUAA
This 357-nucleotide ribosomal RNA is filed under the name Triticum aestivum (bread wheat). RNAcentral describes it as "partial small subunit ribosomal RNA". The record is from RNAcentral. Lineage: Eukaryota; Viridiplantae; Streptophyta; Magnoliopsida; Poales; Poaceae.